Molecule: ribosomal RNA, 482 nt
Filed under: uncultured bacterium
Lineage: Bacteria
Description: partial 16S ribosomal RNA
Rfam family: Bacterial small subunit ribosomal RNA
Source: RNAcentral
AUUGAACGCUGGCGGCAUGCCUUACACAUGCAAGUCGAACGGUAACGGGCCUUCGGGUGCCGACGAGUGGCGAACGGGUGAGUAAUACAUCGGAACGUGCCCGAUCGUGGGGGAUAACGAGGCGAGAGCUUUGCUAAUACCGCAUACGAUCUACGGAUGAAAGCAGGGGACCGCAAGGCCUUGCGCGGACGGAGCGGCCGAUGGCAGAUUAGGUAGUUGGUGGGAUAAAAGCUUACCAAGCCGACGAUCUGUAGCUGGUCUGAGAGGAUGGUCAGCCACACUGGGACUGAGACACGGCCCAGACUCCUACGGGAGGCAGCAGUGGGGAAUUUUGGACAAUGGGCGCAAGCCUGAUCCAGCCAUGCCGCGUGCAGGAUGAAGGCCUUCGGGUUGUAAACUGCUUUUGUACGGAACGAAAAGCCUUCUUUUAAUACAGGAGGGUCAUGACGGUACCGUAAGAAUAAGCACCGGCUAACUACGUG